This 116-nucleotide ribosomal RNA is filed under the name Lepisosteus oculatus (spotted gar). The record is from RNAcentral. Lineage: Eukaryota; Metazoa; Chordata; Actinopteri; Semionotiformes; Lepisosteidae.
UGCAGCAGGGUCACCACCUUGCAGCUUGAUCUUAUGAGAUCUCAAAGCUAAGCAAGACUGGACCUGGUUAGUACUGUGCCUGGAGACUUCCAAGGAAAACCAGAGUGUUGCUGUAA